Molecule: ribosomal RNA, 250 nt
Filed under: uncultured bacterium
Lineage: Bacteria
Description: partial 16S ribosomal RNA
Rfam family: Bacterial small subunit ribosomal RNA
Source: RNAcentral
UACAGAGGGUGCGAGCGUUAAUCGGAAUUACUGGGCGUAAAGGGUGCGUAGGUGGUUUAGUAAGUUAGAUGUGAAAUUCCUGGGCUUAACCUGGGGACUGCGUCUGAUACUGCGAAGCUAGAGUACUGUAGAGGGAAGUGGAAUUUCCGGUGUAGCAGUGAAAUGCGUAGAUAUCGGAAGGAACAUCAGUGGCGAAGGCGACUUCCUGGACAGAUACUGACACUGAGGCACGAAAGCGUGGGGAGCAAAC